CAGCAGCCACGGUAAUACGAAGGGGGCUAGCGUUGUUCGGAAUUACUGGGCGUAAAGCGCACGUAGGCGGAUAUUUAAGUCAGGGGUGAAAUCCCGCAGCUCAACUGCGGAACUGCCUUUGAUACUGGGUAUCUUGAGUAUGGAAGAGGUUAGUGGAAUUGCGAGUGUAGAGGUGAAAUUCGUAGAUAUUCGCAGGAACACCAUUGGCGAAGGCGGCUAACUGGUCCAUAACUGACGCUGAGGUGCGAAAGCGUGGGGAGCAAACAGGAUUAGAUACCCGUGUAGUCCCUGUCUCUUAUAU
RNAcentral lists this ribosomal RNA (301 nucleotides) under uncultured bacterium. RNAcentral's name for it is "partial 16S ribosomal RNA". It matches the Rfam family "Bacterial small subunit ribosomal RNA", at positions 509 to 809 of the family's 1533-position model. The record is from RNAcentral.